Molecule: long non-coding RNA, 663 nt
Filed under: Homo sapiens (human)
Lineage: Eukaryota; Metazoa; Chordata; Mammalia; Primates; Hominidae
Description: non-protein coding lnc-ZBED2-4:4
Source: RNAcentral
ACACUCCCAGCUGUGCCUGGCUAUGACUAGUUGUGCAUUCUAGAGCUCUUUAGAGCUACUUCAGAGUUGCAGGAUAAAGAUUUCUAGGGAAGAGGGCAGGGCCAGGCGCCCGGAGGAUUUCCAGCCACGGGUAGUUUACCGAGAGAAAAAGCUGCGGGCGUCGCUCCCUCUUUUACAUAAGAAAGGCUAAGCUCUAAAAGGCAGACAACUUCUUCCUGGCCCUUCGGAGAAGCUAGCCCUUGGAACCUAGGCCCUGAGUCGUGAGGAAGAGGAAAGACUACAUGGGGUCACUAUGUAAGGUGUUCCUGGUGACAGCUCCUGCUGAGGACCCAGCUGACAGCAAGCACCAACCUCCAGACAAGGAGAAGAACAUAAUAUAGCGCUCAUCGUUUCAUUUCUCUACCCACGAUCUUGCAAUGUUUUUCCUCUGCCAACAAGGAAAGAAAAUGGAGCUAUUCCUUUACUGAGCACCUACUAUGUGUCUGAUAGGUGCUUUCCCGUAAGUUAUUCUUUUACUCUUUAAAGCAGGGGUGUGUAAUCUUUUGUCUUCCCUAGGCCAUAUUGGAAGAAGAAGAAUUGUCUUGGGCCACACAUAAAAUACACUAACACUAACGAUAGCUGAUGAGCUGAAAAAAAAUUGCAAAACAAAUCUCCUAAUGUUUU